RNAcentral lists this ribosomal RNA (300 nucleotides) under uncultured Haloplanus sp. RNAcentral's name for it is "bacterial SSU rRNA". It matches the Rfam family "Bacterial small subunit ribosomal RNA", at positions 495 to 795 of the family's 1533-position model. Lineage: Archaea; Methanobacteriati; Methanobacteriota; Halobacteria; Halobacteriales; Haloferacaceae. The record is from RNAcentral.
GGGUAACCGGUGGCCGGCGGCCGGGGUAAUACAGGGGGUGCAAGCGGUAAGCGGAAAUGCUGGGCGGAAGGCUGGCGUAGACGGGUAUGUAAGGCGGGUGUGAAAGCCCCGGGCUCAACCUGGGAAUGCCAUUCGAGACUGCAUAGCUAGGGUGCGGAAGAGGGAAGCGGAAUUUCCGGUGUAGCGGUGAAAUGCGUAGAUAGCGGAAGGAACACCAGUGGCGAAAGCGGCUUCCUGGUCCAGCACCGACGUUCAGGCACGAAAGCGUGGGGAGCAAACAGGAUUAGAUACUCGGUAGUC